GCACGAAGUUAGCCGGGGCUUCUUCUGCGGGUACCGUCAUUAUCUUCCCCGCCGAAAGGGCUUUACAACCCUAGGGCCUUCAUCACCCACGCGGCAUGGCUGGAUCAGGCUUGCGCCCAUUGUCCAAGAUUCCCCACUGCUGCCUCCCGUAGGAGUCUGGGCCGUGUCUCAGUCCCAGUGUGGCUGAUCAUCCUCUCAGACCAGCUACUGAUCGUCGCCUUGGUGGGCCGUUACCCCACCAACUAGCUAAUCAGACGCGGGCCGAUCCUUCGGCGAUAAAUCUUUCCCCGUUAAGGGCGUAUCCGGUAUUAGCCCAAGUUUCCCUGGGUUGUUCCGAACCGAAGGGCACGUUCCCACGUGUUACUCACCCGUCUGCCGCUCCCGUAUUGCUACGGGCGCUCGACUUGCAUGUGUUAAGCCUGCCGCCAGCGUUCGCU
This 437-nucleotide ribosomal RNA is filed under the name uncultured bacterium. RNAcentral's name for it is "partial 16S rRNA". The record is from RNAcentral.